RNAcentral lists this long non-coding RNA (2299 nucleotides) under Acanthaster planci (crown-of-thorns starfish). Its description in RNAcentral is "uncharacterized LOC110990352". Lineage: Eukaryota; Metazoa; Echinodermata; Asteroidea; Valvatida; Acanthasteridae. The record is from RNAcentral.
GACUGGUCCCACUGACUCUACCGAUGACUGAGAAGAGUCCCUUGUGUACUGCUACGGAGCAUAGACUCUGAACUUGCUCUGCUUGACCGAGCUUUGGGCUGAUCUGCUGCAGUUUUGUUAUACGCCAGAUAUAUCUACCGCUAUGAUUUUGCAUGUACAAGUUGUUUAUGUACAUUGUAAGCGUGGGCAAUAUGUGGGAAUAUACGACAACAGCUUUUAUACCAACAGAAAAUAUGUUACCUUCGAUACUGUGGCGGUUGUGUGGACCCAACCCCCGAGUCGCCAUUGGCCGAUGUCAGCGCGCUGUCAAGUCUUAGGCAGCCAAGGGAGCAGGCCCGUUUGCAGCUGUCUACCGCCAUGUGAAGCAGGAGAACAGCACAAGAGCACACUAGGGUGGACUUCAGUUCAGAGCGGAUACUGGUGUAAACUACCGGAACAGCUUGUUUUACAUCCGCCAAAUAUUCUACAAUGCUGACGCCCCGUGGAUGGAACUCUUCACAUAAACAUAAGCUAGCUACUAACGUAAGGCCUGAUGACUCCUGAAACAUCCAGGUGGGUCACAGCCUAAAACACCAGUUUCUGCAACUUCAAGCCAGCCACCAAUGCCGUACCACGCUACUCGCUUGAGACAGGUGGGGCUCACCUACAGCCGCCACAGAUGUUGCUUACAUCUCAGGCUCCAAUUCAAGCCUUCAGACGUGGAGCAUGACAACACCAUGGGCUCUCUUUCAAAGUGUUGCUGUUUUAUAUAUUGUGCAUGCACCUUAAUGGAAAAACCCAUCAACGUUCACAUCAUGCUACCUGAGAGAUGUUCUCCAAGCUAGAGGCUUGGUGGGCAGACGAGUUCUCCAGACUACUGUACGAGCAGCAGGCAGGAAACCUAGACAAGUAGGCCUAGUUGCUACGCCCUCAAAAGAUACUGGACGUCGUAAUCAUGGGUAUGUCUUUACUAACCUCUGAUUUUUAAUAUCUGUUCAGCUUAACUAUUCUCUUGGUUCACACACUGCAUUUCCGCCCAUCUCACUACACUCCUGUGCUACUCUGCACCUGUAGGUACUGAAGGCGACGUAUUUUCUGUCACGUAAUCUACCCAAAAUCUAUGAGGAUUUUCUAUUCUAUAAAGAAAAUACUCACUUUCGAUACCAUCCCUCCCAAAUUUUGUGUUUUCCACUGUAGACAAAAAGGAGGGUGAGAUACACAUAGAGUUCUGGGAUAUGAGUCUUCGAUGUGCAGUGUGUGCGGGGUGACGCAAACACUGUUUUUUUGUUUUUCCAUCGGUAACACUUGUGCAUGCGCAUUUGGAAAAUGCGAUAGGUGUCGGAGGAGAGUAUUUUCUGUAUGGAAUAAAAAAUCAUUAAUUUGCAAGUGUUUCCUGGGGGGUUCCAUAGAACACUGAAUUAAAAAAAGUUGAUACAUCCUAGCAUGCUCAUACGAAGCUUUUUUGACCAUCUUGUUUAUCUGGGUAUCUCAUCCUUAACCUGGAAUCCAAGCCCUACCCGUUGAUCAAGCAAAAUUUAUCAACAACCCAGUGGUACCUCCAACAUAGAAUGCAGAUGGAUGGAGCCAUUGUGCAUCCAUGCCUAUUUUCGCCGAAAAAACCUAAGUAUAGCAUGCACAAGUUAGUUUAUACUUGCACUGUCUUAGCAUCAUCCAGACUAAAAUCAAAAGUCUUUCACAAGGUUUGUGCUGCACUAUGAUAGUAAAUUAACUUUGUUUUGCCUUUAAACAAAGGUACAUAUUCACAUUGUGUUUUCAGUGUGGUCCAAGAGUUGCUAAAAAAAAUUACAAGCUUGCUCAGGUGAGAUUCAAACUAUCUACUUCCUGCUUUUUAAGCGUAAUGCUAGUUGUAUUGUUUUCUGGUUCUAUUUUGUUUCCAUUUUGAGUGUUUUUGUUUUGUAUUUUCCUUUUUAAUUCUACCUUAUUUUUUGUUGUCUAGGUCGAAUAGAUAACAGCAAUAAGGAUAAAUUAGCAGGGUAGCAAAAAUUGCGAACGCAACAGUUGUUAUCUCCAGAUCACUCCUUAUUUCCAACUUAAAAUUUGCAAAAAAGUAGUAAAUAGUGCAAAAACGUCCUAAAUUCAAAAUGACGCAGAGAAUUCAGACGAUUAGUUAGAUGAAACAAUCACACUUCAGUGGAUAUCUCUUCCCUUCUGUGCUUGAAUUGGGUGCACUCUUAAAAUACCGUAAAAGCAUCGUCUAGAUGGAAUGUCCUUGAAUGAAGUGUUUUGCAGAGAGCAGCUGCUUCAAUCCGAAAUCAUUAAGACUCUUCAUCAUCUUCACAUGGUUGUGCCUCUUCAAACA